Zingiber officinale is the source of this 107-nucleotide small nucleolar RNA. NCBI's taxonomy places the organism in Eukaryota, Viridiplantae, Streptophyta, Magnoliopsida, Zingiberales, Zingiberaceae. The record is from RefSeq and is a predicted model, not a curated record.
AGCCCAUGAUGAGGGCACUAUCUAAGCAUACUCUUGAAUCUGUCUCAUGCUUCAAAUAAUGAUUCUAAGUAUGUCUGUCUAAAGCUUGCUAUUAGAUUCCUCAUGUG